CUAAUUUCCUCUCUUUUACAUUUGCAGGAUAUGUGGGAUGUUCCCCUGGAGCUAUAUAAGAAAGGGAAGAUCAUUUGCCACUCAAUUAUUCCACUUGGUGGUAAGGACCCCACCCCCUUCCAGAAUAAACCUAAACGGGGAAUUUCUAGUUAUCUUAUUCUGAUUCAAGGAUGAGAAAAACCAAGCUUAUUAAGUGGCACAGCAUGUUCCUUGAUGAGGGAUAGAGAAGGGAGCCCACUGUCUAGUUGGGACUGCCACCUCGGUGGGAUUGAGGAUGCAGAACAAUUGUUGCAUGGGGAACUUGAGUAGUAUCAUCAAAGACAGGGAGAACAGGAGAAUGUGGCAUUGUAUACCAACAAAACACCACAAUUAGGGGAAUCAGGGGAAACUUGAAAGAAAUGUCAAUCAAAGUGGGAGAAACUGACAUCUGGGUUAGGAAUGGAACAGAAGGUCUUGGUGGGAUGUAGGUCUAGGUUUCCCUGCCAAGAUAGGAAAGCUUUGACUCUCCCUAUAGCUUACACUUUUCUUUUAUAAAGAUGACCUUUAAUCACACCCACUGUUAGUACCACAUUCCCUGUUUCUUUAAGCAUCCUCAACUACUUCUGGGGACCCAGCAGAGGCUUUGGCAGUAACAAAGCCCCACCCAGCACUUGCUUUGGACAUAAUGAGCUAAGGCAUUCAAGUACCCACCUUUGCUCAUUAAUUUAUCAUCAUCAAAUUUUAUUUUGAAAAACCACUAUUUUCUACAGUGAGGUAAUGUGAUCAUUGUAGGAAAAAGAAGAAAUGGAUGAAAUAAAAAGUAAAUAAAUGCCAUCCGUAAUCCAGAAAGAAGUGUUAAAUAUUUAGCAAAAUAAAAUAAUACUGUGCAUAUUCUUUGUUUUGUAAUAUCUUGUUUUUUAAAUACAUUUUUUAUUAGUCUCUACAUGAAAAACCAAUUCUGUGAGGGACCAGAUUUAACUCAAGAGAUUACCCUUACACACAC
This 982-nucleotide long non-coding RNA is filed under the name Marmota monax (woodchuck). Lineage: Eukaryota; Metazoa; Chordata; Mammalia; Rodentia; Sciuridae. The record is from RNAcentral.